RNAcentral lists this transfer RNA (56 nucleotides) under Schistosoma curassoni. Lineage: Eukaryota; Metazoa; Platyhelminthes; Trematoda; Strigeidida; Schistosomatidae. The record is from Rfam by way of RNAcentral.
GAAGUAGUAGUUUAGUAGUUAAAACAGUUGAUUUUCAAUCACCAGUUUCUAUUUCG